Molecule: long non-coding RNA, 1679 nt
Organism: Phasianus colchicus (ring-necked pheasant)
Lineage: Eukaryota; Metazoa; Chordata; Aves; Galliformes; Phasianidae
Source: Ensembl
AUCCCUCCGUGUCACCCACUGUCACCCAUUGUCCUUUCAUUGUCACCCAGUGUCACCCAUUGUCCCGUUAGUGUCACCCAUUGUCCCCUUUGUCACCCCUUGUCCUCCCCAUUGUCACCCAAUGUCCCUCCGUGUCACCCACUGUCACCCAUUGUCCCUUCAGUGUCACCCAGUGUCACCCAUUGUCCCCUUUGUCACCCCUUGUCCUCCCCAUUGUCACCCAAUGUCCCUCCGUGUCACCCACUGUCACCCAUUGUCCCUUCAGUGUCACCCAGUGUCACCCUUUGUCCCCUUAGUGUCACCCGUCGUCCCCUUUGUAACCCGUUGUCCUCCCCAUUGUCACCCAAUGUCUGUCCGUGUCAUCCAGUGUCACCCAUUGUCCCUUCAGUGUCACCCACUGUCACCCAUUGUCCCCUUAGUGUCACCCCUUGUCACCCAUUGUCCCCUUUGGUCCCUCAUUGUCCUCCCUAUUGUCACCCAAUGUCCCUCCGUGUCACCCACUGUCACCCGUUGUCCCUUUAUUGUCACCCUCUGUCCCCUCAUUGUCACCCAGUGUCCUCUCACUGUCACCCACUGUCCCCCCACUGUCACCCAGUCACCACUGUCAUCCAUUGUCCCUUCAGUGUCCCCCCAUUGUCCCUUCAGUGUCACCCAGUGUCACCCCAUUGUCACCCAUUGACACCCACUGUCACCCAUUGUCCCCUCAGUGUCCCUUCGUUCGUCACCCAAUGUCCCUCAGUGUCACCCAUUGUCCCUUCAGUGUCACCCACUGUCACCCAUUGUCCCCUUAGUGUCACCCGUUGUCACCCACUGUCACCUAAUGUCCCUUAGUGUCACCCAAUGUCCCCCCAUUGUCACCCACUGUCAAACAUUGUCCAUUCAGUGUCCCCUCGGUGUCCUCUGUUGUCACCCAUUGUCACCCCACUGUCACCCAUUGUCCCUUCAGUGUCACCCAGUGUCACCAUUGUCCCCUUAGUGUUGCCCAUUGUCACCCAUCGUCCCUUCAGUGUCACCCAUUGUCACCCAAUGUCAUCUAUUGUCCCUCAGUGUCACCCAUUGUCCUCCCAUUGUCACCCAUUGUCACCCAGUGUCCCCUCACUUUCACCCAGUGUCCCUUCAGUGUCCCCCCAUUGUCCCCCCAUUGUCACCCAUUGUCCCUCAGUGUCACCCAUUGUCACCUAGUGUCCCUUCAUUGUCACCCGGUGUCCCUCAGUGUCCCCCCAUUGUCACCCAACUGUCACUCACUGUCCCUUCAGUGUCACCCAUUGUCCCCUUAGUGUCACCCCUUGUCACCCAGUGUCCCUUCAUUGUCACCCAGUAUCCCCCACUGUCCCCCCAUUGUCACCCCACUGUCACCCAAUGUCACCCAUCAUCCCUUCAGUGUCACCCAAUGUCACCUAUUGUCCCUCAUUGUCACCUGUUGUCCUUUCAGUGUCACCCGUUGCCACCCGGUGUCACCUAUUGUGCUUCAGUGUCACCCAUUGUCCCCUUAGUGUCACCCCUUGUCACCCCUUGUCACCCAGUGUCCCUUCAGUGUCACCCACUGUCCCCCCACUGUCACCCCACUGUCACUCAAUGUCACCCACCGUCCCUUCAGUGUCACCCAGUGUCACCUAUUGUCCCUCAGUGUCACCCAUUGUCCCUUCAUUGUCACCCGUUGUCCCCCCGUUGUCACCCAC